CCUACGGGAGGCAGCAGUGGGGAAUAUUGCACAAUGGGGGAAACCCUGAUGCAGCGACGCCGCGUGAAUGAAGAAGUAUUUCGGUAUGUAAAGCUCUAUCAGCAGGGAAGAAGCAAGACGGUACCUGACUAAGAAGCCCCGGCUAACUACGUGACAGCAGCCGCGGUAAUACGUAGGGGGCAAGCGUUAUCCGGAUUUACUGGGUGUAAAGGGAGCGUAGACGGUAUGUCAAGUCUGAAGUGAAAGCCCAGGGCUUAACCCUGGGACUGCUUUGGAAACUGUUAGACUAGUGUGCUGGAGAGGUAAGUGGAAUUCCUAGUGUAGCGGUGAAAUGCGUAGAUAUUA
Molecule: ribosomal RNA, 345 nt
Filed under: uncultured bacterium
Lineage: Bacteria
Description: partial 16S ribosomal RNA
Rfam family: Bacterial small subunit ribosomal RNA
Source: RNAcentral